Molecule: ribosomal RNA, 484 nt
Filed under: uncultured bacterium
Lineage: Bacteria
Description: partial 16S ribosomal RNA
Rfam family: Bacterial small subunit ribosomal RNA
Source: RNAcentral
AUUGAACGCUGGCGGCAGGCCUAACACAUGCAAGUCGAGCGGAUGAAGGGAGCUUGCUCCUGGAUUCAGCGGCGGACGGGUGAGUAAUGCCUAGGAAUCUGCCUGGUAGUGGGGGAUAACGUCCGGAAACGGGCGCUAAUACCGCAUACGUCCUGAGGGAGAAAGUGGGGGAUCUUCGGACCGCACGCUAUCAGAUGAGACUAGGUCGGAUUAGCUAGUUGGUGGGGUAAAGGCCUACCAAGGCGACGAUCCGUAACUGGUCUGAGAGGAUGAUCAGUCACACUGGAACUGAGACACGGUCCAGACUCCUACGGGAGGCAGCAGUGGGGAAUAUUGGACAAUGGGCGAAAGCCUGAUCCAGCCAUGCCGCGUGUGGGAAGAAGGUCUUCGGAUUGUAAAGCACUUUAAGUUGGGAGGAAGGGCAGUAAGUUAAUACCUUGCUGUUUUGACGUUACCAUCAGAAUAAGCACCGGCUAACUUCGUG